GCGGAUGUGGUGGAAUGGUAGACACGGUGUCUUUAGAAGUCACUGCGAAAGCGUGAGAGUUCGAGUCUCUCCAUCCGUA
This 79-nucleotide transfer RNA is filed under the name Caudoviricetes sp. RNAcentral describes it as "tRNA-Leu". It matches the Rfam family "tRNA". From Rfam's summary of the family: Transfer RNA (tRNA) molecules are approximately 80 nucleotides in length. The record is from RNAcentral. Lineage: Duplodnaviria; Heunggongvirae; Uroviricota; Caudoviricetes.